This 492-nucleotide ribosomal RNA is filed under the name uncultured bacterium. Its description in RNAcentral is "partial 16S ribosomal RNA". It matches the Rfam family "Bacterial small subunit ribosomal RNA", at positions 29 to 507 of the family's 1533-position model. The record is from RNAcentral.
AGUGAACGCUGGCGGUAGGCCUAACACAUGCAAGUCGAACGGCAGCACAGUAAGAGCUUGCUCUUACGGGUGGCGAGUGGCGGACGUGUGAGGAAUAUAUCGGAAUCUACUCUUUCGGGGGGGAUAAGGAAGGGAAACUUACUCUAAUACCGCAUACGAUCUUCGGGGGAAAGCAUUGGAUCUUCGGACCUUGCGCGAUUGAAUGAGCGGAUGUCGGAUUAGUUAGUUGGCGGGGUAAAUACCCACCAAGGCGGGGAUCCGUAGCUGGUCUGAGAGGAUGAUCAGCGACACUGGAGCUGAGACACGGUCAAGACUCCUGCGGGAGGCAGCAGUGGGGAAUAUUGGACAAUGGGCGCAAACCUGAUCCAGCCAUACCGCGUGGGUGAAGGAGGCCUUCGGGUUGUAAAGCCCUUUUGUUGGGAAAGAAAAGCAGCAGGUUAAUACCCAGCUGUUCUGACGGUACCCAAUGAAUAAGCACCGGCUAACUUCGUG